This 427-nucleotide ribosomal RNA is filed under the name uncultured Enterobacteriaceae bacterium. Its description in RNAcentral is "bacterial SSU rRNA". It matches the Rfam family "Bacterial small subunit ribosomal RNA", at positions 356 to 774 of the family's 1533-position model. The record is from RNAcentral. Lineage: Bacteria; Pseudomonadati; Pseudomonadota; Gammaproteobacteria; Enterobacterales; Enterobacteriaceae.
GGGGAAUAUUGGACAAUGGGCGAAAGCCUGAUCCAGCCAUGCCGCGUGUGUGACGAAGGUCUUCGGAUUGUAAAGCACUUUAAGUUGGGAGGAAGGUGUUGUGGUUAAUAACCGCAGCAAUUGACGUUACCCGCAGAAUAAGCACCGGCUAACUCAGUGCCAGCAGCCGCGGUAAUACGGAGGGUGCAAGCGUUAAUCGGAAUUACUGGGGCGUAAAGCGCACGCAGGCGGUCUGUCAAGUCGGAUGUGAAAUCCCCGGGCUCAACCUGGGAACUGCACUCGAAACUGGCAGGCUAGAGUCUUGUAGAGGGGGGUAGAAUUCCAGGUGUAGCGGUGUAAUGCGUAGAGAUCUGGAGGAAUACCGAUGGCGAAGGCGGCCCCCUGGACAAAGACUGACGCUCAGGUGCGAAGGCGUGCGGAGCAAACA